UAGCUUCAGCGAUGGAUCGGUUGAUUCACGUAUCGAUGAAAAACGCAGCUAGCUGCGUUAUUUACCACGAAUUGCAGACGCUUAGAGUGGUAAAAUUUUGA
This 101-nucleotide ribosomal RNA is filed under the name Ashworthius sidemi. RNAcentral's name for it is "partial 5.8S ribosomal RNA". It matches the Rfam family "5.8S ribosomal RNA", at positions 1 to 103 of the family's 154-position model. From Rfam's summary of the family: 5.8S ribosomal RNA (5.8S rRNA) is a component of the large subunit of the eukaryotic ribosome. It is transcribed by RNA polymerase I as part of the 45S precursor that also contains 18S and 28S rRNA. The record is from RNAcentral. Lineage: Eukaryota; Metazoa; Nematoda; Chromadorea; Rhabditida; Trichostrongylidae.